This 379-nucleotide ribosomal RNA is filed under the name uncultured Alphaproteobacteria bacterium. RNAcentral describes it as "bacterial SSU rRNA". It matches the Rfam family "Bacterial small subunit ribosomal RNA", at positions 9 to 416 of the family's 1533-position model. Lineage: Bacteria; Pseudomonadati; Pseudomonadota; Alphaproteobacteria. The record is from RNAcentral.
GAGUUUGAUCCUGGCUCAGAACGAACGCUGGCGGCAGGCCUAACACAUGCAAGUCGAACGCUGUAGCAAUACAGAGUGGCGCACGGGUGCGUAACGCGUGGGAAUAUGCCCUUGACUACGGAACAACGUCGGGAAACUGACGCUAAUACCGUAUAAUGUCUUCGGACCAAAGAUUUAUCGGUCAAGGAUUAGCCCGCGUCUGAUUAGCUAGUUGGUGAGGUAACGGCUCACCAAGGCGACGAUCAGUAGCUGGUCUGAGAGGAUGAUCAGCCACACUGGAGCUGAGACACGGUCCAGACUCCUACGGGAGGCAGCAGUGGGGAAUAUUGGACAAUGGGCGCAAGCCUGAUCCAGCCAUGCCGCGUGUGUGAAGAAGGCC